RNAcentral lists this ribosomal RNA (256 nucleotides) under uncultured bacterium. RNAcentral describes it as "partial 16S ribosomal RNA". It matches the Rfam family "Bacterial small subunit ribosomal RNA", at positions 334 to 606 of the family's 1533-position model. The record is from RNAcentral.
GCCUCUUACGGGACGCAGCAGUGGGGAAUAUUGCACAAUGGGGGAAACCCUGAUGCAGCGACGCCGCGUGAGUGAAGAAGUAUUUCGGUAUGUAAAGCUCUAUCAGCAGGAACGAGACAAGACGGUACCUGACUAAGAAGCCCCGGCUAACUACGUGCCAGCAGCCGCGGUAAUACGUAGGGGGCAAGCGUUAUCCGGAUUUACUGGGUGUAAAGAGGGCGCAGACGGCAAUGCAAGCCAGGAGUGAAAGCCGGGG